GCCUCACACAUGUGAGGCAAGCAGUCCAUCACUGAGCCCCAGCCCCAGCAUGCUAGCAUACUUCUGAUAAGGCGAAGUAGAUAGAGUAGAUAGAGUCAGGCACAGAUCAGGGUUACAAGGCCUUCCAUUUUGUGAGCAGUUUUUUUGAUAGCAGUUGGCCCCACUCAAAAAAGACAGCGAGCCUUGUGACAAAGUGUGGUCUAGCCAAUGAGAUGUGAAUGGAAGCUUCCAGGAAAACUCUGAAAAGGCUUCCUCUUCUGUUUUUUGGAAUGUGAUAUAAUGGCUGGAAUUCUGGUCCACUUUGGAAUACCAGGUGACCUUGAAGAUGGAAGCCAUUAACUAAGAUACUGUUCUUGUAAGCUUUUACAGCUUUUACUGUUCUUGUAAGCUUUUACACAAGAAACAAACUAUGUUGUAUAAACCACUGCUACUUUGAAUUCCCAAGUUAUAUGCAACCAAACCUUAUCCUGAUAUGGCUAAGAUUUCAUAUUAUUCUUUGAUAAGAGUUUUAUAUAUUGAAAGCUGGGUGUAGUGGCAGAUGUCUAUAAUCCCAACAACUCAGGAGGCUGAAGGAGGAGGAUCAUGAUUUCAAAGCCAGCCUCAGCAACUUAGUAAAGCCUAAGCAACUCAGCGAGACUCUGUCUCUAAAUAAAACACAAAAAAAGGGCUGGGUAUAUGGCUCAGUGGUUAAGUGCCCCUAGGUCAAUCUCCAGUACCAAAAAAAAAAAAAAAAGUUUUAUAUGUUCACAUUGACAAUUUUCACAAGAACUUGGGAUAGUCAUAUGUACCUGGCUCCCCAUAGCAGAGUCCAGCAUGGGAUUGGAGCAGACAAUAGGCAACCUGUGGAGUUAAAGCAGAAUUUGGGGACAAAAGAAAGUUGUUUGUCCAAAAGGCAGAUUAAUCCCCAAGAAAAUACAAAAAAAAAUUGUUUGGGUUAUUAGAGAAAUUGAACAUCCCUAAUUCAAAACCUGAAAUGUUUGAGCUCAAAAAGUUUUGGAUUUUGCAUUUCCAGAUUAGGGGUGCUCAACAGAUAAAGUCUAUAUACAUAUUUCAAAAUUUGGGGAAAAAAAAUCAAAUCUGAAACACUUCUGGGCCCAAGCAUUUCAGAUAAGGGAUAUUCAGCCUAUACUUUAAUACAGCACUCCUUCAAUAAUCCCAGAAGUGGAGGCUCCCACCUACUUUGUUUUGUUUUGCUUUUAAAGAAGCUUCUAUGCAACAGGCAUUUCACAUCUUAAAUUAACUGACCUUGGUUUCCAACACUAUAAAACCUGACAGCAUUUAAAAGUAAAACAAGAGUAGUUUAUGACGUGCUAAUUUAUUGCCUCUAUCUCACAUUAGUAACCUUCAAGGAACUCAAAAUAUAUUGCCUCCAUUAUUUGACAUUAAAAUAGCUCUGGGGCCUCCGUGAGCAGCCAAGUAGAUCCUAGAGACUGGCAGUACAAUCACUCCCCUGCUUAGAACCUGUCAAUAACUUCUCAUUGUUUUUAGAGUUUCAGCCCACUGGGCAAUCAAGUCCACUUUCUCUCCAGCCAAUCAGAACUACUCACAACUCAACUUUUGUUUCUGCCAUUCUAGACCGGCUUCACUCAGCUAACUUCACCCCUCUGAAGUCAUUCUUCCUCCCCUGCCCCAGCUGCCUGUGUUUUAAAUUCUGCUGAUCUUCAAGGUCUAACACUAGCUAUGCUCUUUCUCUGUCCCUCAUACUGGAGAUUAUAAACUCUCAUGGACCAGCUUGGGGUAUAGCUCAGAGUGCUUUCCUAACAUACAAGGCCUAGGUUUGAUUCAUUUCACAUGGAUUUUACAGGAAACUCUCAGAAGUUACUUUCCUCUUCUUUUGUUGUUUGUAUGCAUUGAAUUGCUUUAUCUUACCAUAAGCUUCCAAAAGGAACACAAGGCUUCUUCCAUCCCUCUGGCAUCUAGGAGGUACCCAGGAUUAGAAAGUGAAUAAGAGGUUAGAGAAGUACCUAGACAUGCUCCUUUUUUUAUCUCCUCUCAGUCUAUGUUUCUGGUACUUUUCUUUCCUUCAUUUUUUUCUCAGCAAAGGAAAGACAAGGGAUGAAUUAGGGACAGGGAAGGUGUUGACUGUAGAAAGCUAGAUUUUUCACUGAUAAUUAAUCCCCUUUUAUUAUAGAUGAAUUUUUUGAGAAAAUAUUUUUCAUCAUUUGCAAUGUGAUGCUUUUGAGAUUCAUAGUUACCUGUUAGCAAUACAUUCAUUGCCUUUUAUGAUUUCUCUUUUAAUUAGCCAGGGAAAUAGCCCUGGUGAAAUAGAGUGGUAUAAUUCACUAAGUUGUCUUUCUUAAAGGGAGCAAUCAGAAUUUCACAGCCUCAGCUGUUUUCUUAAACUGGAAAGCACACAAAUCCUCCAGAAGUAUGCACUCUACAUACCUACUAAUAAGCCAUACAUUCAGUUGACAAAUUUUUUCAAUUUGUCUAAAUCAGUGGUUCUCAAUUUUAGGACAGUUUGCCCAUAUCUGAAAAUUUUUAUGUCACCACUGGAAAGGGGAUACUGCUAGCAUCUAGUGGGUAGAAGCCAGUGAUGCUGCUAAACCUAUGGACAGAGCAGCCCAUACCACAAAGAACUAUACAACCCAAAAUGAUGGUAAUGAAAAAAUUGAAUUAUUUACCCUGAUUAAACAAAUUUGGCAGUUAUUCGCUUCAAAUAUAUUCAUUCUUUCCAUCAGAACACACAUUCUAAUACUUUAAUAUCUGAAAGAGAAUAACAAACUACAUUCUAUAAAGAAUUCAUUCUCUCAUUUAGCUUCCCACAGGAAACUGUUUGAAGGGAAAAAUACUUAUUUUCUAAAGAAAAAAACAAUUUUUUUUUAAAUUUCAAAACACUUCUUAAAAUUAACUUCCUACAGAAGGGCUUUUUAAACAGUCAUUCCGGCUCCAGUUGUUUUGAAAUCACUCUAGAAAUAUGGAUGUGAGCCUGGAAAUCUGCCUAGUUUAGAUAAGCAGGCCUAUAACAGAAAUUUUUUCCUUAAACUCAAUGAGAACGAAUCCAUUAAGAGUUCAGAAGGCAAAGAAAUUUUAAGAACAUUGUUGAGAUAAUGUGCAAGCAAAGAAAACACUAGAUUUAUUCUGUUUAGGGUCAGAGAUAAUAUUUCCUUCACAUCAUUCAAUAUUUUGCUAACAUUUUUUCUUCCUUUUUCCCCCCGCCUUGUGUUACUGGGGAUGGAACCCAAGGAAUUGCCCAUACUAGGCAAGCACUUUAGCACUGAAUUACACCCCCAGCCCUAUUUUUCCUUUCUAAUGAGGCAAGGGAGAUUUCUGUUGAUUAUUUGAUCAUUUUCCAUAUUUUUCUUUUAUAAUAAUAGUAUCAUGCAUAAAAUUUGGUGGCCUCCAUGUUUUCUAUACCAUCACAAAUAUUUUUCCAUGCCAAUUAACAUUUUUAAAAACUAUAGACUGAAAAAUGUCAUAUUGAUCUACCAUAAUUGAUUUAACCAUUCCCCAAUUAAUGAGAUUUCACUUGUUUAUUUUUCAUCAAAAUAAAAACAUUUGAGAUGAGUAUUUUUGUAUCUUAAAAAAUACAUUUUAUACUUAUAUAAAAAUAUAUCAGGUAUAUAUUUUAUAGAUGAUCUUUAUCUUACUUCCAUAAAAGGAAUUAGAAUUGCCUCACAGAGAUUUCUUCCUGUUUCUUAUUUAUCAGACUUCUACCUUUCCUAGGGACUUUACCUGGCAAAGUAUACAAUGCCAAGUUUUAAUAAAUGCUGACUAGUCAACAUUCUAGACAUUUGUAAAUGCCCAGAAAAACAAUGGAUGAUACAAAGAAAGAAUUGAGGAUCCCUAACUUCUAUCUUCAUCCGGGCUGCAUUUUUAUGCCUUUUUGCGUAAGCCCCAAGGAUUUGGGGGCUUACUUCCCUUCUGAAAAUGAGAUCAUUUCCUAUCAUUGAAUAGCUGUUCUUGCUAUGGUACUGGAACUAGAAAGAAGUUGGUCCAAAUAGGAAGACCCCCUGCUCACUUAGUGUUACCUGAGAAUGCAAGGACCCCCUUUUUUGCCUGGUGAUGUCAACAUCACUCCCUAACAAUGUGCCCCAAAUUCCCAGUUAACCAACUUUGGGAGAAUUAAGGCCUUAACAUUUCAGUUUUGUUUUGUUUUGUUUUUUUCUGUAUUAAGAAUUAGACCCAGAGGUGCUAUAUCACUGGGCUACAUCUCAAGCCCUUUUUUACUUUUAAUUCUGAGACGGGGUUUUUCUAAAUUGCCCAGAUUGGCCUUGAACUUAUGAUCCUCCUGCCCCAGCCUCCUGAGUAGCUAAGAUUAUAGACAUGCACCACUAUGGCUGGCUUUAAAUUCUCAUCUUUUCUUUGUUAAGUAAUAUUGGGAGUAUUCACACAUUUACUUGUCACAGUUCUGUAUAGUGCAGUACCAGCAAAUGAUUAGCCAGAUGGUUCACAUUGCAAGGCACUGAAGGAAUGGAAGAACACAGGGAAGCAUCUUUAAGCCUGACUUCCUCACCUAAUAAGCUCUGAGGAUCUAGAGAAAGGAGUACUGAGAGCACAAGACCUAUCUGGGAGGAAAGUCAGGCCCCGAGCCACUGUGGAGGGUCUGGGGCACUCUGAGGACAACACAGGGGCGAUCAAGUAGCCAGGGAACCAGGUGAGAACAGUAAAAUCCACAUAGGGCAGACUUUUGCCUAAUAUAUAGUUAAUAACUUUGCCUUGGCUUCUGUGUAUACAGUGCCAAACAAAAGAGGAAUAGUACUUGGGUCAUCCUAAAAUAUGCAUCCUAAUGUUAUGAAUGGAGUAGAAAAGAGAAAAGCCUUCUCAGGAAGUAAAAAUACUUCCAUUUUUACUAAUAGUUUUCUCCAUUCACAAAUCUGUAAUACUAAUUUAAAGGAAAAAAAUAAACUUGAAAAACAUUAAUAUGCAUAGAUGUUAAAUUAGUUGGGAAAAGUAUCUUCAAAUUGUCACUUAAUUUUUAAUGAAAAACUGAAGCAACCUAAAUGCUCACAGAUGAUGAGUAAUCAAGUAAAUUCUGCCACAUACAGUGGUAUUCAAAUCAUAAAAAUAAGGUUGUACAUCAUAUUUGUUGUUAUAAAGAAAGCCAUGAAAUAUUGUUGAGAGUCAAAACAGAUUACAAAACUGAAGGCACCAUUUGAUCUGUUUAUGAAAAGCUAUUUCCAUAUUAAUAUAUGUGUAACCAGACACAGCUAGCACACAACUGUAAUCUGAGCUAUAUGGGAGCCUGAAGCAAGAGAUUUGCAAGUCCAAGACCAGCCUGGGCAACUUAGCAAGACCCUGUCUCAAAAAUAGAAAAGAGAAGAGUGCCCCUGGGUUCUGUCCCUCAUACCAAAGGUAUGAAUGCAUGCACGCACAUACACACUCACCACACAUACAGAUGAUUGUAGGAAUAUUCCCAAAUAGACUGUUGACAAUGAUUAUCUUCAAAAUACAUAAUUAAUUUGUAUUUUGUAAUUGUAAAAUCUGUUUCUUCUCUAAAAGCAAUAAUGCAUUUCCUCCCUCCAAAAAGAAAAGCCUACCUAAAUCCUUUUUAUUUCAAGUGCUUCCAUUCUGAUAAUCUAAAUAAUUGUGGUUUACUAAAAAGGAUUGUAGAGUAAAAUCCAUACCCAUGAUAGAACAAAAUUCAAGCUGGAGGACAUCCAUGACUGUAAAACCAGGAGACAAAUGGAAGCAGCAAUUCUGAUGCAGGAAAAGAGCAACCUGGAUUUUGACAUCCUGUACAGAAUCCUAAAUCUUAGACUAAAAAAGCAUCAACUGGUACAUUUUCUUGCCCUUGAGCACUGAUCAUGUUAUCUUUCAUUUUUAACUUAAACCAUAAAAUUGUAUUAGCUAUGCUACAAAUUAAGCUAAGCUGUCUUCUAUCCAAUCACUUCGAUUCUGUCCUUUGGAGGGUGAUUCUGUCCUCUUUGAGUUGAAAGUGAAGGAAUUGUAUCAUGCCUUUUACUUACAAAAUAUUUUAAAAGAUAACAUCUCUAAGAAAAUAGUGUUUUUCAUUGAAAAAUAUUUUCCAAAGAUCUAAACUUGAAAGACAACAAAAAUUAAAUAUUUGGUGUAUAAAGGGAGGGUGAAAAGGAAGAAUUUCAAACCCAGCAAACUAGGAACAAUUCCUUUAAGAAACUUCCACUUAAAGGACCCUGGCACAUAUAGCUCAGAACCUUGUCCUAAAUGAGGUGAUGAGAGAUUUACAGUACCUGCUUUGUAAAACCAGAUUCAGUCCUGUUACUGCCCACUCUGGAAUCCAGGUGUCUAGCUGCUCAGCUAAUGCCUGCUCCUCUACAUCAUCCACUCUUGACAAAAAAGCUGAGCUCUAUAAAUUAAAUGGCAUGAUUAAACAAUACAUAUACAAAUCUGAAUACCUACAAUAUUUCCACAGAAUUACCAAAAAUAAGAGCUUAUUUUAAUUGGUAGUGAAAGACAUAUAAACAAACUAUUUGAGUAAAUCCCUUGAAUUCAAUAAAUCAAUACGACAGAAUUACACCAACAGUUACUUAGGUAUCUACUAUGGUAUGAAGGAACUGAAGACCCCAUUGAAUAGUUUGUAAGCAUGGAAGAGUUACAUUGCCAAAUAAACAGCACACCUGAUAAUUUCUCCAAGGGCCAAGAAAAAGAAGCAUCACUUUGGGCUUUACAUAUAAAGAAGCUUAAUGGAAUAUUCAUACUUACUUAGAAACAAAAAUCCAAAAGAUCAGUAGGGAAUUUUGUCUUAAUAAUAUAGUAUACUAAAUAGUAUGCUGUUUUUGUGCCUGAAGCUUUUUUCUAUAAGGUUGUAAGGUGAAUCUGAAGAAUAAAAAAAAAAAGAGAUUAUAUUUAACAGUGGUCUUCAUAAAGAAUAUUUUGUAUGAUUCUAAUUAUUUGAAUAAUGUUAUAUGUGCACACUUGUAUAUAGUCAGCAUUCCAAAGUCUCCAAUGAGAAUAUCCACAUCAUCCCAGUUCUACUCACAUAACCACUGAAACAGAUCAAUUCUUUUUUAAUUAUUUUAGUUGCAGGGAUUGAAUCCAGGACCUAGCACAUGCCAGGCACAUGUCUGCCACUGAGCUACAUACCCAACCCCAAAAGAUUGGAAUUUUUAAAUGUUGACAUCCUAUAAAAUGUAAAGAAUUCACUAACUUUGUAAAUAAUAUAAAUUGCUUACAAAAAUUUUAUUUGGAAAUGCAGCGUUGACAUUUUUUGGCAAUCCAAUUCAGUUAGAAUAACCAUCACAGUCUCAGAGAAGCAGAACCAAAUUUUAAUUUGAACUAAAAAUUUAUACUUUAUUAUAUUGGUAAUGCCUCUUCUUUCCCUUUUUCCUUUUCUUAAUUGGUCAUUUUUAGUUAU
This 7276-nucleotide long non-coding RNA is filed under the name Marmota monax (woodchuck). The record is from RNAcentral. Lineage: Eukaryota; Metazoa; Chordata; Mammalia; Rodentia; Sciuridae.